Molecule: ribosomal RNA, 253 nt
Filed under: uncultured bacterium
Lineage: Bacteria
Description: partial 16S ribosomal RNA
Rfam family: Bacterial small subunit ribosomal RNA
Source: RNAcentral
UACGGAGGGUGCAAGCGUUAUCCGGAUUCACUGGGUUUAAAGGGUGCGUAGGUGGGCAAGUAAGUCAGUGGUGAAAUCUCCGGGCUUAACCCGGAAACUGCCAUUGAUACUAUUUGUCUUGAAUACUGUGGAGGUCAGCGGAAUAUGUCAUGUAGCGGUGAAAUGCUUAGAUAUGACAUAGAACACCAAUUGCGAAGGCAGCUGGCUACACAAAUAUUGACACUGAGGCUCGAAAGCGUGGGGAUCAAACAGG